UACCGAGGGAGAUGACUCUAUUGUUCUGUGAGUAUGAGUAUGAUAUUCAUUGGCACACUUUCAAACACAUGAGAGAUGUG
This is a non-coding RNA of Picea glauca (white spruce), 80 nucleotides long. NCBI's taxonomy places the organism in Eukaryota, Viridiplantae, Streptophyta, Pinopsida, Pinales, Pinaceae. The record is from Rfam.